Long non-coding RNA from Centropristis striata (black sea bass), 612 nucleotides. RefSeq lists it as uncharacterized. NCBI's taxonomy places the organism in Eukaryota, Metazoa, Chordata, Actinopteri, Perciformes, Serranidae. The record is from RefSeq and is a predicted model, not a curated record. The transcript has 5 exons.
AGCCGGCCAUCCUGCUCGGCCACACCGCCGGGAACCAGAGAGCGAAUCACGAUCACGGUCUUGGCGGGGUCUAGUGGGUCCUGUGGUGGAGCCGGUCCAGUAAAGUUCAGUGAAAAGAAGACAACAGGAGUCACAGCAGCCCAAGAAAACUCCUCCUCUGCACGUCGACCGCUGGCUGCUAUUUUUUUGAAAAGAUGGCCAGUUACGUGGGUGUACUCAUUCUACUGCUAUUAUUAGGAGGAACCCUCUGACAGCCAAAAACUCCAGCUCCAUCAUGACGAUGGUGGUGGUAGGGAUAGUGGUGGAAGGGGGCAGGAUGGUGACACUGGGGUUCACGGCCGGGGGGAUCUCCUCAGGCUUGAAGCCCCGCCGGAUCAGCUUAAGGUGGACUGUCUGGCCUGUGUGCCUGAGCACUUCCACUGCCUGUUGAUUGGUGUAUCCUUGGAUGUUUACACCAUCGACCUGCAGAGGGCGAUCAUUUGUGAGCCCAUGGAUUAAACGGCCUGUGCUGACAAUUGGGGAGCACCACAGGCAUGACAGCAGAGACAGAGGGACUCUCCUCCACAGGACCCCUGGUCACCACCAGCUUCACCCUGUUGCCACACUGCCUGA